UUUACAGAAACUUUUUCGAAAGUGGAUUUGUAUAUACAUAUUUCUUGGUAACAAGAACAGAACAAAAUUACGACCAAUUCAUUACAUUCUAAAAUGUAAAAAUGAAACAAUAUAUGAGCCAGAAUAAAUGUUCCGGAGCAAUAUUUAGCUAAGCGGUAAUUGUUUUUUAAAAUUUUGUUCAAGCUCCAAUAGAUAGGUAUACGGACAACCACAACUCACAAGGUAUGGAAUAGUCGUACCGAGCCACCGAGGAGCCGACGAAAGAAAAAAAUGAUCGACGGCAACGGCG
Molecule: long non-coding RNA, 289 nt
Organism: Acyrthosiphon pisum (pea aphid)
Lineage: Eukaryota; Metazoa; Arthropoda; Insecta; Hemiptera; Aphididae
Exons: 3
Source: RefSeq, a predicted model, not a curated record